Non-coding RNA from Microcebus murinus (gray mouse lemur), 230 nucleotides. Lineage: Eukaryota; Metazoa; Chordata; Mammalia; Primates; Cheirogaleidae. The record is from RefSeq and is a predicted model, not a curated record.
CUUUAUGCCACUGAACUGCACACGUUAAAAUGGCUAAAUGCAGGUCUGGGCAGCAGAUGAACAACAAGGCAUGUGCCCAGCUCUGUUGCCAACAAGAAGAGGAACCAGGAGGCCUGUUUGGAUUCGCCCACCUCUCUCACCUGCUGGGCUCCGGCCGGAGUCCGCAGCGCCCCCGCUGGGGCCGUGGUCCCAGCUCUCCGAGUCCCGGCCAGAGGUGCUCGUCCGUGCCU